UUGAAGAGUUUGAUCAUGGCUCAGAUUGAACGCUGGCGGCAGGCCUAACACAUGCAAGUCGAACGGUAACAGGAAACAGCUUGCUGUUUCGCUGACGAGUGGCGGACGGGUGAGUAAUGUCUGGGAAACUGCCUGAUGGAGGGGGAUAACUACUGGAAACGGUAGCUAAUACCGCAUAACGUCGCAAGACCAAAGAGGGGGACCUUCGGGCCUCUUGCCAUCGGAUGUGCCCAGAUGGGAUUAGCUUGUUGGUGGGGUAACGGCUCACCAAGGCGACGAUCCCUAGCUGGUCUGAGAGGAUGACCAGCCACACUGGAACUGAGACACGGUCCAGACUCCUACGGGAGGCAGCAGUGGGGAAUAUUGCACAAUGGGCGCAAGCCUGAUGCAGCCAUGCCGCGUGUAUGAAGAAGGCCUUCGGGUUGUAAAGUACUUUCAGCGGGGAGGAAGGGAGUAAAGUUAAUACCUUUGCUCAUUGACGUUACCCGCAGAAGAAGCACCGGCUAACUCCGUGCCAGCAGCCGCGGUAAUACGGAGGGUGCAAGCGUUAAUCGGAAUUACUGGGCGUAAAGCGCACGCAGGCGGUUUGUUAAGUCAGAUGUGAAAUCCCCGGGCUCAACCUGGGAACUGCAUCUGAUACUGGCAAGCUUGAGUCUCGUAGAGGGGGGUAGAAUUCCAGGUGUAGCGGUGAAAUGCGUAGAGAUCUGGAGGAAUACCGGUGGCGAAGGCGGCCCCUGGACGAAGACUGACGCUCAGGUGCGAAAGCGUGGGGAGCAAACAGGAUUAGAUACCCUGGUAGUCCACGCCGUAAACGAUGUCGACUUGGAGGUUGUGCCCUUGAGGCGUGGCUUCCGGAGCUAACGCGUUAAGUCGACCGCCUGGGGAGUACGGCCGCAAGGUUAAAACUCAAAUGAAUUGACGGGGGCCCGCACAAGCGGUGGAGCAUGUGGUUUAAUUCGAUGCAACGCGAAGAACCUUACCUGGUCUUGACAUCCACAGAACUUUCCAGAGAUGGAUUGGUGCCUUCGGGAACUGUGAGACAGGUGCUGCAUGGCUGUCGUCAGCUCGUGUUGUGAAAUGUUGGGUUAAGUCCCGCAACGAGCGCAACCCUUAUCCUUUGUUGCCAGCGGUCCGGCCGGGAACUCAAAGGAGACUGCCAGUGAUAAACUGGAGGAAGGUGGGGAUGACGUCAAGUCAUCAUGGCCCUUACGACCAGGGCUACACACGUGCUACAAUGGCGCAUACAAAGAGAAGCGACCUCGCGAGAGCAAGCGGACCUCAUAAAGUGCGUCGUAGUCCGGAUUGGAGUCUGCAACUCGACUCCAUGAAGUCGGAAUCGCUAGUAAUCGUGGAUCAGAAUGCCACGGUGAAUACGUUCCCGGGCCUUGUACACACCGCCCGUCACACCAUGGGAGUGGGUUGCAAAAGAAGUAGGUAGCUUAACCUUCGGGAGGGCGCUUACCACUUUGUGAUUCAUGACUGGGGUGAAGUCGUAACAAGGUAACCGUAGGGGAACCUGCGGUUGGAUCACCUCCUU
This 1537-nucleotide ribosomal RNA is filed under the name Escherichia coli. RNAcentral's name for it is "bacterial SSU rRNA". It matches the Rfam family "Bacterial small subunit ribosomal RNA". Lineage: Bacteria; Pseudomonadati; Pseudomonadota; Gammaproteobacteria; Enterobacterales; Enterobacteriaceae. The record is from RNAcentral.